Molecule: long non-coding RNA, 574 nt
Organism: Xenia sp. Carnegie-2017
Lineage: Eukaryota; Metazoa; Cnidaria; Anthozoa; Malacalcyonacea; Xeniidae
Exons: 3
Source: RefSeq, a predicted model, not a curated record
UAAAUGGGGAGCAUUUUGAUGAGUGAGACUAAGUAGGGUCACAUUUCACCAGAAACAAGUACGUUUCCUGGAGUUAAGGGUAGAGGCCUUUGUUCUGUCUGAAAGAGGAUUGAUGAACCAUAAAACUCAGUAAAUUCAGUGCAAUUAAUUAACAAGGAUAAAAAAUAAAGAAUGGAUGAUAAUGCAGAGACUUCAAGAAGACGCAGUUCAUCAUGGAAGGACAAAUUUUAUCGAAAUGUGAUCAACCUUUCUACAGCCGAAUUCAUAAGGAAGUAAGAACACUUCAGUUAAAUUUGGGUAACAAGGGUAACAAGCUCAUCGUUUUUAGUACAGGGGGUAUGUCUAUGGGUCAGCAUGUCCAGAUUUAGCAGUUUUAAAGUUGUGAAGUUGUUAUAACGAACGAGAUGCAACCGUCGAAAGCAAUUAGAUGACUAAAUUUUUCACAAUCAAAUGAGCCCUUCAUGUGAUGUCAUUCAAGCAACGUCUGUUCUAGAUCUUUUAUAAAUCAUAGCAUAAAUCAUAUAUCAAUGCUAAUCAUUAUUAAAUUUUUCUACCUUUUAUUGGUUAUUAAAAC